GUGCCAGCCGCCGCGGUAAUACGUAGGUGGCAAGCGUUGUCCGGAUUUACUGGGCGUAAAGGAUGUGUAGGCGGAUAUUUAAGUGAGAUGUGAAAUCCCCGGGCUUAACUUGGGGGCUUCAUUUCAAACUGGAUGUCUAGAGUGCAGGAGAGGAAAGCAGAAUUCCUAGUGUAGCGGUGUAAUGCGUAGAGAUUAAGAAGAAAACCAGUGGGGAAGGAGGCUUGCUGGACUGUAACUGACGCUGAGGCAUGA
Molecule: ribosomal RNA, 252 nt
Filed under: uncultured bacterium
Lineage: Bacteria
Description: partial 16S rRNA
Rfam family: Bacterial small subunit ribosomal RNA
Source: RNAcentral